This 1617-nucleotide ribosomal RNA is filed under the name Trichodina reticulata. RNAcentral describes it as "SSU rRNA". It matches the Rfam family "Eukaryotic small subunit ribosomal RNA". The record is from RNAcentral. Lineage: Eukaryota; Ciliophora; Oligohymenophorea; Mobilida; Trichodinidae.
CAUGCAUGUGUAAGUAUAAGUGUUAUACGGCGAAACUGCGAAUGGCUCAUUAAAUCAGUCAUAAUUUACUUGACAAUGGCUUCUACAUGGAUAACCGUGGCAAUUCUAGAGCUAAUACAUGCGUAAAGGCUGGACUCACGUUCAGCUGGUUUUAUUAGAUAUGAUACCAACCCUUUGGUUGUGAUGAAUCAUGGUAACUGAUCGGAUCGCUCUGCGAUGAGUCAUCCAAGUCUCUGCCCUAUCAGCUCUCGAUGGUAGUGUAUUGGACUACCAUGGCAGUCACGGGUAACGGAGAAUUAGGGUUCGGUUCCGGAGAGGGAGCCUGAGAAACGGCUACCACAUCUAAGGAAGGCAGCAGGCGCGUAAAUUACCCAAUCCCGACUCGGGGAGGUAGUGACAAGAAAUAACAACUCGGGGUGUAAAAACUUUCGAGAUUGCAAUGAUCGUAAAGUAGACAUAUUUGAAAGAAACAAUUGGAGGGCAAGUCUGGUGCCAGCAGCCGCGGUAAUUCCAGCUCCAAUAGCGUAUAUUAAAGUUGUUGCAGUUAAAAAGCUCGUAGUUGAACUUCUGUGUUUCGUUUGAGGAUUCGUCCGGAAAACGGGAUACAUUAGUCUGCAGCAGGAUUCGUCCUGGGGGCAGACAGUUUACCUUGAGAAAAUUAGAGUGUUUCAGGCAGGCGUAGCCGGAAUACAUUAGCAUGGAAUAAUGGAAGAUGUCUCGGAUCCGUUGUUGGUUGGGUGAAGAGAAAUGAUGAAUAGGGACAGUCGGGGGCAUUAGUAUUUAAUUGUCAGAGGUGAAAUUCUUGGAUUUAUUAAAGACUGACUUCUGCGAAAGCAUUUGCCAAGGAUGUUUUCAUUGAUCAAGAACGAAAGUUAGGGGAUCAAAGACGAUCAGAUACCGUCCUAGUCUUAACUAUAAACUUUACCGACUCGGGAUCAGGUGGGAUCUUACGCCCGCUUGGCACCGUACGAGAAAUCAAAGUCUUUGGGUUCUGGGGGGAGUAUGGUCGCAAGGCUGAAACUUAAAGGAAUUGACGGAAGGGCACCACCAGGAGUGGAGCCUGCGGCUUAAUUUGACUCAACACGGGGAAACUUACCAGGUCAAAACAUGGGUGUGAUGGACAGAUUGAGAGCUCUUUCUUGAUUCUAUGGGUGGUGGUGCAUGGCCGUUCUUAGUUGGUGGAGCGAUUUGUCAGGUUAAUUCCUUUAACGAACGAGACCUUAACCUGCUAACUAGUGCCCUGUCUCCACAUGGGCCACUUCUUAGAGGGACUAUGCGAGUUUAUCGCAUGGAAGUUUGAGGCAAUAACAGGUCUGUGAUGCCCUUAGAUGUCCUGGGCCGCACGCGCGCUACAAUGGCACAUGCAACGAGUGUUCUGAUCAGAAAUGAUUGGGCAAUCUGCGAGGGUGUGCCGUGAUGGGGAUCGAUCUUUGCAAUUGUGGAUCGUGAACGAGGAAUUCCUAGUAAGCACAAGUCAUCAGCUUGUGCUGAUUACGUCCCUGCCCUUUGUACACACCGCCCGUCGCUCCUACCGAUUUUGAGUGAUCCGGUGAACCUUCUGGACCGAGCUUGCUUGGAAAGUUAAGUAAACCCGAUCACUUAGAGGAAGGAGAAGUC